Molecule: small RNA, 1850 nt
Filed under: Pongo abelii (Sumatran orangutan)
Lineage: Eukaryota; Metazoa; Chordata; Mammalia; Primates; Hominidae
Description: retained intron
Source: RNAcentral
CGACAGCGCAGCUCGCGUCGACCCUGGCUCAUCUACCUGCCCCCGCGGGCCCCCGCCUCCUUCAGGAUGACGCUGGACGUGGGGCCGGAGGAUGAGCUGCCCGACUGGGCUGCCGCCAAGGAGUUUUACCAGAAGUACGAUCCUAAGGACGUCAUCGGCAGAGGAGUGAGCUCUGUGGUCCGCCGUUGUGUUCAUCGAGCUACUGGCCAUGAGUUUGCGGUGAAGAUUAUGGAAGUGACAGCUGAGCGGCUGAGUCCUGAGCAGCUGGAGGAGGUGCGGGAAGCCACACGGCGAGAGACACACAUCCUUCGCCAGGUCGCCGGCCACCCCCACAUCAGUGAGGCUGUCUUCCUUGCUCCUGUUAGCAGAUGACCCCCCACCUCCUGCUGGCCCUGCCCAUAGCCCACUUCCGCCAACAUUGCCUCCACACCUCUCCUCCCUUCAUUCCACUAAAGAGUGGCCAUCCUUUGGGCCCCCACUGCCUCCUCUGGUUCUCCUUUCUUCCCAGUAACAGCCCGCUGCUGUCCCAGGGUGGCCAAGCCCUGUUAAUGUGCAUCCACUCCUUUCCAUCUCUGUCUCUCUGCCUCUCUUCCUCUCUCCCUAGUCACCCUCAUCGAUUCCUACGAGUCUUCUAGCUUCAUGUUCCUGGUGUUUGACCUGAUGCGGAAGGGAGAGCUGUUUGACUACCUCACAGAGAAGGUGGCCCUCUCUGAAAAGGAAACCAGGUCCAUCAUGCGGUCUCUGCUGGAAGCAGUGAGCUUUCUCCAUGCCAACAACAUUGUGCAUCGAGAUCUGAAGCCCGAGAAUAUUCUCCUAGAUGACAAUAUGCAGAUCCGACUUUCAGAUUUCGGGUUCUCCUGCCACUUGGAACCUAGCGAGAAGCUUCGAGAGUUGUGUGGGACCCCAGGGUAUCUAGCGCCAGAGAUCCUUAAAUGCUCCAUGGAUGAAACACACCCAGGCUAUGGCAAGGAGGUCGACCUCUGGGCCUGUGGGGUGAUCUUGUUCACACUCCUGGCUGGCUCGCCACCCUUCUGGCACCGGCGGCAGAUCCUGAUGUUACGCAUGAUCAUGGAGGGCCAGUACCAGUUCAGUUCCCCUGAGUGGGACGACCGUUCCAGCACUGUCAAAGACCUGGUGAGCUGGGGCUGAGAGGACAGUAGGGGAGGCCCAAGAGCUGUCCCUCAUGCUCUGGGUCUCUCCUAGAUCUCCAGGCUGCUGCAGGUGGAUCCUGAGGCACGCCUGACAGCUGAGCAGGCCCUACAGCACCCUUUCUUUGAGCGUUGUGAAGGCAGCCAACCCUGGAACCUCACCCCCCGCCAGCGGUUCCGGGUGGCAGUGUGGACAGUGCUGGCUGCUGGACGAGUGGCCCUAAGCACCCAUCGUGUACGGCCACUGACCAAGAAUGCACUGUUGAGGGACCCUUAUGCGCUGCGGUCAGUGCGGCGCCUCAUCGACAACUGUGCCUUCCGGCUCUACGGGCACUGGGUAAAGAAAGGGGAGCAGCAGAACCGGGCGGCUCUCUUUCAGCACCGGCCCCCUGGGCCUUUUCCCAUCAUGGGCCCUGAAGAGGAGGGAGACUCCGCUGCUAUAACUGAGGAUGAGGCCGUGCUUGUACUGGGCUAGGACCUCAACCCCAGGGAUUCCCAGGAAGCAGAACUCUCCAGAAGGGUUUUGAUCAUUCCAGCUCCUCUGGGCUGUGACCUCAGGCCCACCACUGAUCCUGCUACCCUCUUGAAGACCAGCCCGGUACCUCUCUCCUCACUGGCCAGGGCUCUGAGAUCAGAGCUGGGGUGGAAGGGAGCCACUCUGAACGCCACGCCUGGCCCGGUCAGUGCUGCCUGCGCUGCAUA